AUUCAUGUCAUGUGGGUUUGUUUAUAUUUGUGAAGGGACAUAAAGAGACUAAUUUGAAACCAAGUAAAUGAAUAUAUGAUUAUACAACAGAGCAGCUUUAACAUUAUUUACUGUUACAAAUUAAUACGAUGGAUUAUUUUGGUAUUACCACAUGUUGCAAUUUACAGCGGCUACUAUUUCUAUUCUGACUUUACAUGAAGUCAAAACGACUGACAGAUCGAUGAGAUAUUGAGGAAAGUAAGCCAUAUUAAAUCUAGUGAGAAUGAGCAAAGUGUGCUGUGCACAAGUCACUUGUUACACAUAUUGGAAGAAGCAAACAGAAAUCCACUAGUAUUGUAAAAACUGAUGAAUUCCAAUAUUUUCAUGGUGCUUAUUCAGGUUCUGAGAGACUGACAUUCUUUUCAAGUGAUUGGAAUCACAUCACAAUGAAACACAUGGGAACUUCAUGCUGGGAGCAUAAUUCUAUGGAUUGCCUACUUCAACUGUGCUCUGAACCCGGUGA
RNAcentral lists this unclassified non-coding RNA (502 nucleotides) under Lingula anatina. RNAcentral describes it as "high-affinity lysophosphatidic acid receptor, transcript variant X1". The record is from RNAcentral. Lineage: Eukaryota; Metazoa; Brachiopoda; Lingulata; Lingulida; Lingulidae.